UACGUAGGGGGCAAGCGUUGUCCGGAUUUAUUGGGCGUAAAGAGCGUGUAGGCGGCCAGAUAGGUCAGCUGUGAAAACUCGAGGCUCAACCUCGAGAUGUCGGCUGAAACCAUCUGGCUAGAGUCCGGAAGAGGAGAAUGGAAUUCCCGGUGUAGCGGUGAAAUGCGCAGAUAUCGGGAAGAACACCCGUGGCGAAGGCGGUUCUCUGGGACGGUACUGACGCUGAGAAGCGAAAGCAUGGGGAGCGAACAGG
RNAcentral lists this ribosomal RNA (253 nucleotides) under uncultured bacterium. Its description in RNAcentral is "partial 16S ribosomal RNA". It matches the Rfam family "Bacterial small subunit ribosomal RNA", at positions 524 to 776 of the family's 1533-position model. The record is from RNAcentral.